Molecule: long non-coding RNA, 5287 nt
Organism: Triticum aestivum (bread wheat)
Lineage: Eukaryota; Viridiplantae; Streptophyta; Magnoliopsida; Poales; Poaceae
Exons: 7
Source: RefSeq, a predicted model, not a curated record
GCUGGGCGGUGGGGCGUAGGGGGAGGGGGGCCUGGGCAGCAGGGCUUUUCCCCUGGCCGAGAAACCAUGGACUAAAUUCUCCCCGGGCAAUCCACCAGCGCAUUUGGAGGCCCAAGAGAUAGGGGCAGCCCCGCCCUUUCCACGGGUGAGGCUUCCAUGCCUGGUGAGGUCAGGGAGAAAACCCUCGUCGCUUGGUCUCGCGAAUGAGAGGCGGCGGUGACAAGAUCAAGAACUCCUCCGCCCUUCUUCGUCCAACGCUCCACCGUCCCUCGGCCCUCCUCCAGCAACUGGAAGCGGCGCACCCCCAUCUCCCUCCACCUCUACACUCCAACCCUCUGGUGGGGGCGACGGCGACCGAGUUAUGUCUCAAUGCAUGCGAGAGCUUUAAGUAUAACCAUCCAAGCACAGUGGUAUGUCUUGGUGCAUCUUAAACUUUGUUAUCUUGAUAAGUGCUCUCUCUUGUUUAAUGAAUAUAAUUUAUCUUCUGUUUUUUGGACGUAGGUUCGUAAUGAAAAUGUAGAGGAUUUUCUUUCUUUGCUAAUGGAAUGAUCUGUCCUAUAUGACAAGUACGUCCAUAAAAAUAGUGGCGUUGCCUCAACUAGUUUGUUCGAGGAUGAAGGGAAGACCAUGAGCCUGCAAAAAGCAAGCAUGUCGUGGAGAAACUUAGCGUGAUCUGCUAUGGUGGCGCUCACAGAAAAACAAUUUGCAUAUACUUCAAAGUACUCCUCAUUCUAAUCUUGUUCCUUUGUAGCGUUGGUAUAUUUGUUGUUUCCGUACGUGUCAUCCUAAUAUAAUUUUUUAAUAAGUGCAAUGGAAGGACGAUCAGGUCGAGGAUUCCUAGGAGCCCAUGGAGAAACUCCGGUUAGUAUCUAAUCUGAAGUUAUUCUUUAAAAAAUGUAUUUCAAGUGCAAUGAGUCCUUCAAUGUUCAACGCUUUCCCACUUAAAAUUAAAGAAUUUGUUCAAAAAAGCCAUAGGUGAAAAAUCGUACUACUACCGGUGAGUGCUUGAUAUCUUCUUUUUUCUUGAUAAUUUUGGCUAAACACCAGAUUCACUGAUGGUAAUUAAUUGUCCUGUCACAUUUUGUCCUGUCACAUUUUAAAGGGUGAUGUUGAUGGCUCAAUCCUUGACAGGGCGGGCCACCGGACAACACAUCAACAUCACCCUUUAAAAUGUGACAAGACAAUUAAAUACCAUGUGUUUAGCCAAAAUUAUCAAGAAAGAAGAUAUCAAGCACUCACCGGCAGUGGUAAGAUUUUUCGCCUAUGACCUUUUUGAACAAAUUCUUUAAUUUUAAGUGGGAAAACGCUGAACGUUGAAGGACUCAUUGCACUUGAAAUACAUUUUUUAAAGAAUUACUUUAGAUUAGAUACUAACCAGAGUUUCUCCAUGGGCUCCCAGGAAUCCUCGACCCGAUGGUCAUUCCAUUGCACCUGUUAAAAAAUUAUAUUAGGAUGACAUGUACGGAAACAACAAAUGUAUCAACACUACAAAUGAACAAGAUGACAAUGAGGAGUACCUUGAAGUAUAUGCAAUUUUUUUCUGUCAGUGCCACCAUAGCAGAUCGCGCUAAGUUUCUCUACGACAAGCUUGCUUUUUCCAGGUUCACGGUCUUCCCCUUCAUCCUCGAACAAACUAGUCGAGGCAUCGCUAUUAUUUUUAUGGACGUACUUGUCACAUAGGACACCAUUCCAUUAGCAAAGAAAGAAAAUCCUCCAUUUUUUCAUUACAAACCUACAUCCAAAAAAACAGAAGAUAAAUUAUAUUCAUUAAACAAGAGAGAGCACUUAUACAAGAUAACAAAGUUGAAGAUGCACUAAGACAUACCUCUGUGCUUGGAUGGUUAUACUUAAAGCUCUUGCAUGCAUUGGUAUUAAGAUCUACAACCCAUCGCUACAAAUAUCAACAAAUUGUUCUCUAUCAGCCAAUUGAAGAGCUAUCUGUUUUGAAAGUGCCCAAUGAAUCGAGAGAUUUUCAUCAAUACCAAGAACCCAAGGCUUAGGCUUUUUUGGUUGAAGGAGGAGAUUGCUGCAAUUGAGAGAACAUAAGCCAACAUCAAGUUGUGGUACGCGAUGUCGAUGAGGAGUGGAGAAAAGACUUAAGUUGGACUAGUGACCGUCGCCUUGCAGCAGCGCAUAUUGUUCGAUAGUGUCCCUGCCUUGACAUGGCAACUUGAUAAUCCAGAACUUUUUAACCAUGAUCCUAGGACCGAUAUUUGAACCAUGGUGAAGGGAUGAAACAAAGGAAAUGUGGCAGGGAGGAUUUCUAAAGGAAAUGGCCAUGCUUUAACUAUGGAAAGAGAAGGGAUGCAGAUGGAAAAGCACGAAGCCUUGCUUCAGGACAAAGCGGCAUGGGGAGCUGCGACACAUCUCUUGGGGCUGAUCCUUCCGGUUGAGGCCUCGAAUGCUGAACGGCGUGGUUCCCAAAGAUUGAAGCAAACAUGGAUGAAAUUCACUGUGGCGUCCUGUAGGUUGUCUGGUCGUUUAAGCUUUCCUUGUGCUUCCACUGAGCUGUAGAACUGGGUAAUCAUGUUGGCUUUACCCUGAGAACCUGAAUGUUUAUGAACCUUUGUUCCAUUGCAUCAUUGGCUGCAAUGGAACAAGGAGUUCUGCUCCUAUCUUCCUAAAAAGGGGAUAGGAAGAUCAGCCGGACAAGAUCUCGUGACAUUGGACAGCUGAUGGCUCUUACAUGGCGGCAUCUGCAUACAAGAUUCAGUUCAUGGGAAGUACAUCCUCAAACCUGAAGGAGCUCAUCUGGAAAACUCCAGUACUGGCAAAGCAGAAGCUCUCGGCUUGGCUGUGUAUUCAAGAUCGCUGUCUAACAGCGGAUAAGCUCGCCAAGAGGGGCUGGCAGCAUGACCCCAUCUGCUCACUCUGGAAGUGUCAGCCGAAGACUGCUGCACAUCUUCGCUCACUGCUCCUUCUCGGCUGAGGUGUGGAGAUUAGCCUUUGCUACUUUCAACUUCCCCCUGAACCUGAUCCCCAGCGUGAUGAUGCCGUCUUUCAGGAAGUGGUGGGAGCAAGGUUAUGCUGUCUUGGCCUCAAACGAGUCUGAACAGAAAUGCUCUGCUCCGAUUACCCUGGUUUGUUGGUUCAUUUGGACUGCGCGGAUCUUUGAUGGGGUGGCCUGCACUGCUGCUCGGGUAAUGUGCAAGAUUGAGGAAGAACUGUCGGAAUGGGGAAGCGCCCGGAUCAGGGGUAUGCUAUUACUGUCGCCUAUUCAUCCAUGAUGCACACAAUAUGGUCUGAUUGCCUAAGAAGAUGCCGUUGAAAGGAGCUACUCAGAGUUAGGUGGAAACCUCUGUGAGCUCCUACUCAAUGCUACUAGUGUUUACUGGAUAGCCUUUGGCCUAGGUUUUUCCCCAUGUUGAGCUAUGUCAUGUAUCUCUGUAACAUUUCUUCUCCCUUAAUAUAAUGAAAGCAGCGCUGCUGCUCUUCGUAAAAAAAAAUUGGGAUGUUUUCUUGACUGAAUUCAGUGGAUCAUGAUGUUUCAAGUUGCAUAUCCUUUUAUUAGAUAAUGGAAUGAUAAAUGCGAUGGAGAUGACCAGUUUGUAUGAUGGAAAAGGACCCUUUAUGAAUCUGCAGAUGGCAUGGCAUCUUUGACACAUGAAAUUGGUGUUGCAUUUUCUCUGUCUUCUUAAUUCCAAGGAUGUGGAAGCCCAAGGCCAGUCAGAAGUUCACUGUUGUUCAGACUAUUUUCAGGCUGUGGGCAGUUUGCUAUUUUUAAAUAUCUUGGUCCAUGCUGUAAUGAUUCCCAAUAGGCACCAGUGAUGAAUUUCUGUGGAGAACUAAUGAUUCAUGAAGGAGGAAACUUAACCUUGAGGACAAAAGGAGUAAUGGUGUAGAACACUAGUAAUGCAACGGCAAAUCCCGCGAACAAACUUAUCUGAAAAUAAAAAUGGAAAAAACAAUACAAAGCAGCUGUGAGUUUCCUGUCAAGACAAUUGAAUAAUGUGUAUUGCAGAUAAAUGAGUCAAACCAUAACUAUACUUUGGUACCAUUGUUGGAGACCAGGCAACUGCUUCUAGGCUCUUCCUUUCGAAUAUGAAUCUGAUGUUUUGUCAGGUUAAGUUGUCACAUGAACAGAAGAGUAUGGUCAAGACAUUUCUGUUCCAGAAAAAACAUAGUGAUAUUUUAACUACGUGAUUACAGAGCAAAUUUAUAGAUGGCAAUAUCGACAGAUUAUGAAAGUUUUUUCUCUGCUGAUCUGCUAUUAAUAGUGAAUUGCGGAGAGGAUACAUCUGAAUUGCACUGACAAACAGGCCAAAUAGUCCAAGCAUCGCGAUAAGCUCUACCCGAUCGUUCUUCUUGACACAGUAUUCCUACAUAUUCAAGGGAAGUGUUAAACUUAUGACAAUUUUGAGAAAAUAUUGCUGGAUAGUAGGAAGAGACAUAUAAUGGCAUCACAAACCUCUCCAACAUUGCUAAAUGCAAAACAAACUGUCCCGGCAAUAACAAGGGCAUCCCCUAGAAGUGGCAUUUGACCCCCAUCUGCAGAAAAUGAAGGGUUUUGUAAGCUGCUAGCACUUACCCAAGCUAUAGAAAUUGUGAGACGAUUCCAGCUUGUAUGGGUCUUAAAGUUUGGUUUUCAUUUGAGCACGUCAUACACCUGUUCUUAUUGCCAGUUUGCUAUGUUAUUCAGCUGUAAAUUUUUGAACAAGAUUCAACAGUGAAUAUGAUCUCCUGGACUACUGUACGAUCGCGAUUUCUUCUAAAGAAAGAGGAUAAGCAUGAUACAUACUAUCAAGAACUUCAUCCUGUGUGUAUCUUACUAGAUUUUGCAUCUGAAAGGAGCACAAGGCCUAGCCCUGCCACGCAGGUCCCCGCCCCCACAAAUUGCCAGAAGGAGUAUCUUGUGCCCAGUGCGUACCAGGUGAGUAUGAUGACCCAUACAACGGUCCAGCAGUCCAACAACGUUACGCUGGUGAUGGACGAGUACUGAUAGUUCCCCUGGACAUCGACGAAGGCCAGCGCCAAGUACCAGUACCAAGGUAUCUGCAAGACAGGAGUGGCGUAGAGAGUGAGGAGGCGUGUGAAACUAAAACCACACAAGGUAAGUUUCAUGCUCACCCGUGGCUUCUGCCGUCGGUGCAAGAGGAUCGGCACAUAAAUCAGAGUCAACAGGAGGUAGGCGAAGAAGGAUUGUGUGAGAGGUGUGUUAACUCCUGCAUAAUAUACAUGCGAUGGGUGAUUCGUAAUUGAGUGUUCUACAAAGAUUCACAGGUACUGGGGGAAAUGAUAAUUUGGAUGGUUAGGCUACAGAGACAGUGAGAAGGGCGGGUACCGAGAU